GACGAACGCUGGCGGCGUGCUUAACACAUGCAAGUCGAACGGAAAGGCCCUGCUUUUGUGGGGUGCUCGAGUGGCGAACGGGUGAGUAACACGUGAGUAACCUGCCCUUGACUUUGGGAUAACUUCAGGAAACUGGGGCUAAUACCGGAUAGGAGCUCCUGCUGCAUGGUGGGGGUUGGAAAGUUUCGGCGGUUGGGGGUGGACUCGCGGCUUAUCAGCUUGUUGGUGGGGUAGUGGCUUACCAAGGCUUUGACGGGUAGCCGGCCUGAGAGGGUGACCGGCCACAUUGGGACUGAGAUACGGCCCAGACUCCUACGGGAGGCAGCAGUGGGGAAUAUUGCACAAUGGGCGGAAGCCUUAUGCAGCAACGCCGCGUGCGGGAUGACGGCCUUCGGGUUGUAAACCGCUUUCGCCUGUGACGAAGCGUGAGUGACGGUAAUGGGUAAAGAAGCACCGGCUAACUACGUG
Molecule: ribosomal RNA, 468 nt
Filed under: uncultured bacterium
Lineage: Bacteria
Description: partial 16S ribosomal RNA
Rfam family: Bacterial small subunit ribosomal RNA
Source: RNAcentral